UACGUAGGGUGCAAGCGUUGUCCGGAAUUAUUGGGCGUAAAGAGCUCGUAGGCGGUUUGUCGCGUCUGCCGUGAAAAGUCCGGGGCUCAACUCCGGAUCUGCGGUGGGUACGGGCAGACUAGAGUGAUGUAGGGGAGACUGGAAUUCCUGGUGUAGCGGUGAAAUGCGCAGAUAUCAGGAGGAACACCGAUGGCGAAGGCAGGUCUCUGGGCCGAUACUGACGCUGAGGAGCGAAAGCGUGGGGAGCGAACAGG
RNAcentral lists this ribosomal RNA (254 nucleotides) under uncultured bacterium. Its description in RNAcentral is "partial 16S ribosomal RNA". It matches the Rfam family "Bacterial small subunit ribosomal RNA", at positions 524 to 776 of the family's 1533-position model. The record is from RNAcentral.